RNAcentral lists this long non-coding RNA (374 nucleotides) under Nicotiana benthamiana. RNAcentral describes it as "long non-coding RNA (NBEN_LNC042558)". Lineage: Eukaryota; Viridiplantae; Streptophyta; Magnoliopsida; Solanales; Solanaceae. The record is from RNAcentral.
CAGCUUGGCCUGAACCCAAAACCGAACGCAACUCACAUUUUCUCACCUCACUAUUUAUUACACCAUUAGUUCUCCCUUUUUUCUUAAGUCUGAACAUCCAUCUCUCUAAGGCAUCCAAAUACUUAACAUAAACCAAAUUCAAACCCAACCCAUACCCCGAAUCAAACCCGCAAUCCUCAGCCACUAAACCCCAUGACAUAUUCACAUAAACUCUCUCAUAUCCACCUUUUCCCCUAACCUUCAAACCCAACCCAUAACCCGAAUCAAACCCACAGUCCUCAGCCACUAAACCCCAUGAUCCACUCACACAAACUCUCUCAUACCCACCUUUUUCCCUUACAACCAAAUAAAGCUUGAACAAAUCAACUGAUUUU